GCAUCGGUGGUGCGCGGUGCACUUCGUCGAACUAUGCACUGUUUUCGCCCAUGUAUUAGACGGUUUGGGGUUCGAUUCCCCGCCGAUGCA
This is a non-coding RNA of Mycena rebaudengoi, 90 nucleotides long. Lineage: Eukaryota; Fungi; Basidiomycota; Agaricomycetes; Agaricales; Mycenaceae. The record is from the annotation of a GenBank genome assembly.